Molecule: long non-coding RNA, 1777 nt
Filed under: Carassius auratus (goldfish)
Lineage: Eukaryota; Metazoa; Chordata; Actinopteri; Cypriniformes; Cyprinidae
Description: lncRNA (ENSCARG00000053813.1)
Source: RNAcentral
CACCAAACUGCAAACGCAGCCUGCAUUCUACCCUUGUCCUGCAGGAGGCGGACUCUCUCCAGACAUCUCCUGGUGUCCUGCUUCCUGUCCGAGACAUCUCUCCACUUCCUGAAGGCUGCUGCACAGAUUUGGACAGUCUGUCACCUCAGCAGACUCAGUGCUGUCAGUGUCAGGCAGCUCACCCACCUGCUAACGUCCAUCUGGAAAGCAUCCAUCGUGCUCUGCUGCUCAAUCGUGUUAGCUUGUUCUUCUGAACGCAGGAGUACCAGGAGAGCAGGGAGCGUCUGUACAGAGAAGUGUACAGGAAACAAAUACUGUGGUAGCAAGUUUGCACUGCGUUCUACUGGAAAACUCCAGUUUACUUUAACACCUUCAGCUCAAAACAUGAUUUGUGAACCGCUUGUCUGUACUGAAGUCACCUCCACGAUCUCAGGGUGCUCUGGGGGGGUUUCUAUAGACUUAUGCAGUAUAGGGUAUUCUGGACAUGCUCUCAGAGGAAAAGAGGUUUCUGCUCUUUUCUUCCAGAGAUGGAAAGAGUGAAGAAGCUGGCUCCUCUGAAUGGACUGAAUCAACUUCUCCAUCUUCAUCUCUCUGUUCCUGAUCUUCAAGCCCUUCCAUGCUGAUGAUAACAAAUGCAUCCUAGAACGACAAAACGAAAGCACAAAUCUCAUAUAUAAGAUGCCGUCAACGUUUGGGAGACUGGAAAACACUGCACUGAGUCAGUUUGUCUGCACCUGAACUGAUGUGCGGACAGCUGUGUCCUCUGCCAGGUUGAUGUCCACAGGGUCCAGGCUUUGCUCUGGAGUCUCCUGUCCCACCGAACACAUGACCACCUCGAGCACACCUGCCUCCAGAGCAGCCAGUGCUUGUACAGUACACACAGACUGCCAGGACACAAAACAUGCACAGCUAUAUUGAAACCGAAAGGAAAGUCGUGAUUCAUGUCCAGGACUGUGACUCAAGGAUGUCUGGGAGAGGUAACCACAGGAUGACUCUUACUGAUGAUGAAUCACAGGAGGAACGUGUGGUCCUCAGGACUGAAGCACGGCUGGGAGGAACGAGUCGUUUUCUCAGAGCGGCUGUGUUGAAUGUGUUUUCCAGGUGUUUGCUCUCAUAGUGAUUCUUCCACUGUAACACAAUGAUUGUAUCGCCUUUAAGAUGUGAAGCUGAAAUGCUUCAUUGUUCCUCCAAUAUUCAGAUUAGUACACAACAAAUCUAUAUUUUUUCUCUCUUGAUUCUUUAUUAUCAUCUAUAUUGAAUAUUUGGUUGCAGCCUUAUGCUUAUAUUUGAAAUCCUCUAUAUAGUUGAGUGAAUUGGCAGCAUAUAGGUGAGCCUUGUAAUAACUCAACAUAGUUAAACAACUACAACAUUUUAAAAUGAGAGUUAAACCCUGUUUAAAUGAUUCAAGGUUUCAUUUUACAGGAUUUAAAGUUAACAAAGUGUAAUACUGGACGUGAGCGGCGCAAAUAUCUAUUAGAUAACUCAUUAUAAUCAGUGAUGCUGUCUACACUGGAUGCAAUGUGCUUUCUGUUUAUGAUUUAUUGACAAGUUUCAAAUUGAUUUUCAAAGGUGGCUUUGUCGCGUCCAGUGUAGACAACGUGUAGAGAUGUCUUUAGCUUUUGGCAAUGCAGCACAUUAUAAUUUAUAUAUAUAUAUAUAUGCGAAGAAAAAUAAGAUAUUAUGUCUUGUUUACUGAAAAAUAAAUUAAUAAAUAAUAAAAGUUAGUAUUUGCUUAAUUUUAUAUAUACAUAUAUCUGCCAAUAGUGUAAGAAAAAUG